This 320-nucleotide long non-coding RNA is filed under the name Gallus gallus (chicken). RNAcentral describes it as "long non-coding RNA NONGGAT007302". Lineage: Eukaryota; Metazoa; Chordata; Aves; Galliformes; Phasianidae. The record is from RNAcentral.
GGGUGAGCCCACACUGCAGAGGCUGAGGUGGACACCAGCUCUUGGGUAUGCACUCACCCCUCUCUCUCACUCACUGAUGCUUUUUGCUACACCAUAUGCAGUGUGGGACGAUGAAAGGCUGUGCCCUGGCAUCUGGAAAGUUUGCUGCUGUGCGAUGCUCAGCCUGGGCUGGGUGGUGCCACACCUUCACCACAGGAAGUUCAGCAGAAGUUAACGUCUAAACCUUUGCUCUGCUAGAAAUAACUGUUGAAAUAGCACUUCAUUGCUGCCAGCUGGAAAUCAAAUUCUCUGCAAUAAAAGACAGUUUAUUUGGAGAUGGG